GUCCUUGUAGCUCAGUUGGAUAGAGCAUAUGCCUCCGACGCAUAGGGUCAUGAGUUCGAUUCUCAUUAAGGACACCA
This 77-nucleotide transfer RNA is filed under the name Bacillota bacterium. Its description in RNAcentral is "tRNA-Arg". It matches the Rfam family "tRNA". Rfam says of the family: Transfer RNA (tRNA) molecules are approximately 80 nucleotides in length. Lineage: Bacteria; Bacillati; Bacillota. The record is from RNAcentral.